UACAGAGGUCUCAAGCGUUGUUCGGAUUCAUUGGGCGUAAAGGGUGCGUAGGCGGCGUAACAAGUCACUUGUGAAAUCUCCGGGCUUAACCCGGAGCGGCCAAGUGAUACUGUUGUGCUAGAGUGCGGAAGGGGCUACUGGAAUUCUCGGUGUAGCGGUGAAAUGCGUAGAUAUCGAGAGGAACACCUGCGGCGAAGGCGGGUAGCUGGGCCGACACUGACGCUGAGGCGCGAAAGCCAGGGGAGCGAACGGG
This 253-nucleotide ribosomal RNA is filed under the name uncultured bacterium. Its description in RNAcentral is "partial 16S ribosomal RNA". It matches the Rfam family "Bacterial small subunit ribosomal RNA", at positions 524 to 776 of the family's 1533-position model. The record is from RNAcentral.